RNAcentral lists this ribosomal RNA (151 nucleotides) under uncultured bacterium. RNAcentral describes it as "partial 16S ribosomal RNA". It matches the Rfam family "Bacterial small subunit ribosomal RNA", at positions 1184 to 1333 of the family's 1533-position model. The record is from RNAcentral.
GUCAAGUCAUCAUGGCCCUUACAUCCAGGGCUACACACGUACUACAAUGGCAGGUACAAAGGGUUGCCAAGCCGCGAGGCCGCGCUAAUCCCAAAAAAUCCUGUCUCAGUCCGGAUUGCAGUCUGCAACUCGACUGCAUGAAGCUGGAAUC